RNAcentral lists this transfer RNA (64 nucleotides) under Atyopsis moluccensis. RNAcentral's name for it is "tRNA-His". It matches the Rfam family "tRNA". From Rfam's summary of the family: Transfer RNA (tRNA) molecules are approximately 80 nucleotides in length. Their secondary structure includes four short double-helical elements and three loops (D, anti-codon, and T loops). Lineage: Eukaryota; Metazoa; Arthropoda; Malacostraca; Decapoda; Atyidae. The record is from RNAcentral.
GCUUAAGUAGUUUAAAUAAAACGUUGGUUUGUGGGGCCAAAAAUGUAAUUUUUUAUCUUGGGCA